This 233-nucleotide unclassified non-coding RNA is filed under the name fungal sp. RNAcentral describes it as "partial internal transcribed spacer region". The stretch from base 1 to 46 matches the Rfam family "Eukaryotic small subunit ribosomal RNA", at positions 1786 to 1831 of the family's 1831-position model. Lineage: Eukaryota; Fungi. The record is from RNAcentral.
AAGUCGUAACAAGGUUUCCGUAGGUGAACCUGCGGAAGGAUCAUUAGCGUAAGAAUGACCGUACGGUCUAUUCUAUAACCAUGUGAACGAGGAUCUGUUUGACCUGUGGUGUUGGUGGCAGUGAAAACUGCCGCCGGCAUCUACAAGUCGACUUUUAAACCGUUGACAAAUUGUGAAUUUUAACAAAUACUGAACCAAACACACAACUUUUAACAAUGGAUCUCUAGGCUCCU